This is a long non-coding RNA of Rhopalosiphum maidis (corn leaf aphid), 941 nucleotides long. RefSeq lists it as uncharacterized. The transcript has 6 exons. The record is from RefSeq and is a predicted model, not a curated record. Lineage: Eukaryota; Metazoa; Arthropoda; Insecta; Hemiptera; Aphididae.
AAAUAAAUUCUGACAAUUGUUCAUCACCACCAAUAUUUGAAAAUUACAAUGAAUCUCAUAAUGAAGGUAUGUGUUACAUAUUUCAUCAUCACCCGGAGCCGUGGAUUUGUCUCAUACUAUAAUACAUUUAUUACAACAGCAAAUGUUGUUAGUCCAACAAAUUGUACGAGGUCAACCGAUAACCAAUAAGUUAUUAACAAAAUUAAUCAUGAGCAAUGGAGAAUCUAACCACAAUCAACAUUCAGACGAAAAUGUGUAUUUAACAAUCAAUAUUUGCGAUGAGGUAACGCUGCAAAUCUACCCGAUACCAAUGAAUUUUGGCACUUUCUAAUAAAGCUUUUGCAUCCGCUUACAUGUGAACAGAGACUAGUAGAAUAAUGUUGAAUCAUUUUAAGAUGUUUAUUGGAUUUUUCAAAAAAAGAGCAUAGAUAUCAAUGCUUCUUUUAAUUUAUCUUUUCAAUGUUUAAAUACUAAUGAAUUUUGGGACUUUCUAAUAAAGCUUUUGCAUAGUCUUACAUGUGCAGAAAGACUUGUGAAAUUAUGGUGAAUAAUUUUAAGAAGUUUAUUGGGUUUGUCAAUAAAAGAGCUUAGAAAUCAAUACUGAUUUUGAUUUAUUUUUUCAAUGUUUAAAUACUAAUGAAUUUUGGGACUUUCUAAUAAAGCUUUUGCAUAGGCUUACAUGUGAAGAAAGACUAGUGGAAUAAUGUUGAAUAACUUUCAGAUGUUUAUUGGUUUUGUCAAAAAAAGAGCAUAGAAAUCAAUACUUAUUUUGAUUUAUGUUUUCAAUGUUUAAAUACCAAUGAAUUUUGGGACUUUCUAGUAAAGCUUUUGCAUAGUCUUACAUGUGAAGAAAGACUAGUGGAAUAAUGGUGAAUAACAUUGAGAUGUUUAUUGGUUUUGUCAAAAAAAGAGCAUCGAAAUCAAUAGUUAUUUUGAUUUAU